AUUGAACGCUGGCGGCAGGCCUAACACAUGCAAGUCGAGCGGAUGAAGGGAGCUUGCUCCUGGAUUCAGCGGCGGACGGGUGAGUAAUGCCUAGGAAUCUGCCUGGUAGUGGGGGAUAACGUCCGGAAACGGGCGCUAAUACCGCAUACGUCCUGAGGGAGAAAGUGGGGGAUCUUCGGACCUCACGCUAUCAGAUGAGCCUAGGUCGGAUUAGCUAGUUGGUGGGGUAAAGGCCUACCAAGGCGACGAUCCGUAACUGGUCUGAGAGGAUGAUCAGUCACACUGGAACUGAGACACGGUCCAGACUCCUACGGGAGGCAGCAGUGGGGAAUAUUGGACAAUGGGCGAAAGCCUGAUCCAGCCAUGCCGCGUGUGUGAAGAAGGUCUUCGGAUUGUAAAGCACUUUAAGUUGGGAGGAAGGGCAGUAAGCUAAUACCUUGCUGUCUUGACGUUACCAACAGAAUAAGCACCGGCUAACUUCGUG
RNAcentral lists this ribosomal RNA (484 nucleotides) under uncultured bacterium. Its description in RNAcentral is "partial 16S ribosomal RNA". It matches the Rfam family "Bacterial small subunit ribosomal RNA", at positions 30 to 507 of the family's 1533-position model. The record is from RNAcentral.